Non-coding RNA from Yokenella regensburgei ATCC 43003, 150 nucleotides. The record is from Rfam. NCBI's taxonomy places the organism in Bacteria, Pseudomonadati, Pseudomonadota, Gammaproteobacteria, Enterobacterales, Enterobacteriaceae.
GCUUAUUCUCAGGGCGGGGCGAAAUUCCCCACCGGCGGUAAAUCAGCUGAUGCUGAAAGCCCGCGAGCGCUUCAGGCUAACGCCUGAAGGUCAGCAGAUCCGGUGUAAUUCCGGGGCCGACGGUUAAAGUCCGGAUGGGAGAGAGUAACG